This 1274-nucleotide long non-coding RNA is filed under the name Olea europaea subsp. europaea. Lineage: Eukaryota; Viridiplantae; Streptophyta; Magnoliopsida; Lamiales; Oleaceae. The record is from RNAcentral.
CUUGAAUAGUCCUAGUAAAUAAGCUAUAAUCCGCCCUUGAUUGAAUGAAACCAUGCUGACCAGACAACUUUGAAUACCAUUGCCUUGAGGCUUGCUGAGGACAUAUCUACUUUUGCGAAGUUUGCAUACUUUUGGACUUCCAUCAACAACAUAAACAGGAGGUAAUUGCAUAUAUACUUCCUCAUCCAAAUCAGCAUGUAAAAAUGCAUUAUUAACAUUCAAUUGAUACAAGUACCAUCCUUUUAUGGCUACAAGAGCAAGUAGACUUCAAACAGUUACAAGUUUUGCCACUAGAGAAAAAGUUUCAUGAUAAUCCAUGUAGCAUUUAAUUCAAGUGCCUCAAUCUCAUAUUUCAUGGCAUCAUACCAUUCAGGAUAGUUGGUAGCUUCUUGAUAAUUCUUAGGUUCAGUUUGUGAAGUUAUAGAAGUGAUGAAAGCCUUUUGAAGAAUGGACAAUUUAUCAUAUGACAUGCUAGCACGAAGAGGAUAAGGAUUACCUGAAUGAAUUGAGCCCUCUGCCUUGUCUAAGUCUUGAAAUGGAAUAAAAGAAGUGGCCUAUUGACAUAUAAACUCCUGCAAAUACAAGGAUACUUUCCUGAUUCUGGUGGAUUUUCUUGGUAGGUGAGAAGUGUUUUUAUCUAUCUCAAUAUCUAUGGCAUGUAAAUCCGUUUACAGCAUAGUUUGGUCAAUUUGAGGAUCUGCUAGAUUAGUCUCCUCAAUAUUGGAUUUUUUAGAUAUGCAAUCAUUUAGAGUAGAGAAAGAGGAUUUUGAAGAAAGCAAAAUCAAUGGGACUCGGCACAUGACUAAUAUUUGGCCUCUUUGAAAGGGAAUAAGGUUUCAUGAAAGACUACAUUUCUAAAUAUGAAAACUUUCUUGAUCUCUAGGUCAAGGAGUUUGUAGCCUAUAACUCCAAAAGGAUAUCCUAGGAAGACACAUUUUCUGGCUCUAGAAUCAAAUUUAUGUCUACCAUGUAUGAGAGUUGUGGCAAAAGCAAGACAAUCAAACACCUUUAGAUGACAAUAUGUUGGCUUUCUUUGGAACAAAAGUUCAAAUGGACUUUUGUGAUCUGAAAGUGUUGAAGGGAUUCUAUUAAUGAGAUACACUGUAGUCAAUACGCAAUCUUUCCAAUAUUUUAGUAAAAUGCCACUUUGGAACCUUAGAGCCCCUCAAGUAUGGCAUUUUGUUAAGGGGUUUCAACACAUGAUUUUUGAUGUAUUAUCCCCUUUUUAAGGUAAAAUUGUUUCAUAUCAAAUUCUCCCCUAUUAUCAGCUCGAA